RNAcentral lists this transfer RNA (75 nucleotides) under Corynebacterium dentalis. RNAcentral describes it as "tRNA-Val". It matches the Rfam family "tRNA". Rfam says of the family: Transfer RNA (tRNA) molecules are approximately 80 nucleotides in length. Their secondary structure includes four short double-helical elements and three loops (D, anti-codon, and T loops). Lineage: Bacteria; Bacillati; Actinomycetota; Actinomycetes; Mycobacteriales; Corynebacteriaceae. RNAcentral also lists the same sequence under 1 other name. The record is from RNAcentral.
GGUCCUAUAGCUCAGCGGGAGAGCGUUCCGUUCACACCGGAAAGGUCACUGGUUCGAUCCCAGUUAGGACCACCA